This 73-nucleotide transfer RNA is filed under the name Camelus bactrianus (Bactrian camel). It matches the Rfam family "tRNA". Rfam says of the family: Transfer RNA (tRNA) molecules are approximately 80 nucleotides in length. Lineage: Eukaryota; Metazoa; Chordata; Mammalia; Artiodactyla; Camelidae. RNAcentral also lists the same sequence under 1 other name. The record is from Rfam by way of RNAcentral.
GAGGGUGUAGCUCAGGUGGUAGAGCAUGUGCCUAGCAUGCACGAGGUCCUGGGUUCAAUCCCCAGUACUGCCA